This 1291-nucleotide long non-coding RNA is filed under the name Felis catus (domestic cat). RNAcentral describes it as "lncRNA (ENSFCAG00000043315.2)". Lineage: Eukaryota; Metazoa; Chordata; Mammalia; Carnivora; Felidae. The record is from RNAcentral.
AUGGCGGAGCAGGGCAGGGAGGUUGGUUACUUGAAAUACAGGUGUGGUCAUUUGACUUGCGUUUUUAUGGGUGUUUCCAGGGAUGACACCUGCACUGUUAGUUGUCUAGUAAACACGUGGUGUUGCAACUCUUAUAGAAGUCCAUUAUUUUUGUGUAUCCAAGACUGGAAGGGAUGGAAGCAAAGAGGCUGCCUGAGGGAUACACGGGGCAGAAACCAAUGGCUGCAAGACCAGAGACGCAGAACCCUCCGAGGAGAGGACAGUCUGGAUCCUGGGGACCUCCUCGGUUAACUGGACGAUUCUGCAUGCCCUGCCCUGGAGACGCCCCGCCCCCAUGGACUAUUAGGCAUGUCCACCUCCUGAACCUUGGUGGCCCUGGGGCCACCCGGAACCCCUCCACCUGCAACACUUGGUAAGAUGAUCUAAGCACUAGGAGUUGACUUGUAAAACACACUCACCUUAUUUUUGUUGCUGUUAGGUCUUGGGCCAAGGUGCAGAGGUGGUACCACAGACCAUUGUGAUGCAAGGGGAAUGUGUCUGCUGCCAUUACCACAUUCCUCAAGUUUCUCAGGAUCUCAUCUUUGUCCUUUCCCCCACCAUGGGUUGGUACAGGCGUCUCUUGGAGAGAAGGAAUGGGGCUAUAUGCAGAAAAUCAGACAUAGCGUUUCAGCAGAAAUGCCCUGUACACAGUCCACGUGCUGGUAUCUGUGAGGCAUGAGGCACAAUAUAACGUAUGUCCAUCUAGUUGUGCCCCGAGCCAUCCAUAGUUGUUCGAUGAGUGAUGAAUACAUCUGAAUCAGGGCUUUUAUGAGUCUUCAUCACGUUAUAAGGGAUGGUUCUUCAAGUGCUUCUUGGGGAUCACUGGAGGCAUGUGGGACACCCUGUGCAUGUAAUUUGGGAUCUCACUGGGGCAAAGAGUUUAAGUUGUUGGAAGUAUCAGGGGAGGGUCUUUUGUUUUUGAUCUUCAAACAGUCUACUCAAAUCUAGAAUAAUACACUCCAUUCACUUCAGGCUUUUUGCAGGUCCAGAAGUAGGUGUCACAACCAAGAGUGACAUCGACACUGGCUCUGCCAAAACUGCAGAGAAGCACAAAGUAAAUGCUGUGGCCAUUUUCAGUUCUAAGUAUUUACGGACAGCCACAUCUUUCUGUACAGGACAGUCGCCUGCCAUUGUCUCUGGUUUGUGUGAAGUAUGUUCUGUCUGCUGUUUUUGUUUUUUUCCCAAAUGCAAAACCUUUACCGCCGAGUCUAUGGGCUUCCCUGUUUUCCAGCUGGCAUCUGUUUUUGAUAAC